UACGUAGGGAGCAAGCGUUAUCCGGAUUUACUGGGUGUAAAGGGAGCGUAGACGGCAUGGCAAGUCAGAUGUGAAAGCCCGGGGCUCAACCCCGGGACUGCAUUUGAAACUGUCAGGCUGGAGUGCAGGAGAGGUAAGCGGAAUUCCUAGUGUAGCGGUGAAAUGCGUAGAUAUUAGGAGGAACACCAGUGGCGAAGGCGGCUUACUGGACUGUAACUGACGUUGAGGCUCGAAAGCGUGGGGAGCAAACAGG
Molecule: ribosomal RNA, 253 nt
Filed under: uncultured bacterium
Lineage: Bacteria
Description: partial 16S ribosomal RNA
Rfam family: Bacterial small subunit ribosomal RNA
Source: RNAcentral